Molecule: unclassified non-coding RNA, 338 nt
Filed under: soil metagenome
Description: partial contains 5.8S ribosomal RNA, internal transcribed spacer 2, and large subunit ribosomal RNA
Rfam family: 5.8S ribosomal RNA (bases 1-120)
Source: RNAcentral
GAUGAAGAACGUAGUGAAAUGCGAUAAGUAAUGUGAAUUGCAGAAUUCAGUGAAUCAUCGAAUCUUUGAACGCACAUUGCGCCCGGCAGUACUCUGCCGGGCAUGCCUGUUCGAGCGUCAUUUCAACCCUCAAGCCCUGCUUGGUGUUGGGGUCCCACGGCCGCCGUGGGCCCUGAAAGGAAGUGGCGGGCUCGCUACAACUCCGAGCGUAGUAAUUCAUUAUCUCGCUUAGGGCGUUGGGCGGCGCUCCUGCCGUUAACGAACCAUCUUUAACUCAAGGUUGACCUCGGAUCAGGUAGGAAUACCCGCUGAACUUAAGCAUAUCAAUAAGCGGAGGA